GGGCGGGAGCGGCGGCUGCGGCCGGACAGCAGGACGGUCAGCAGCUUCUUCCAAGUCAGAACGGCCGCGCCUCCGGAGAGCCCAGCCUGCCCCGGGAGCUCCGGGCAGGGAGAGGACAGGCAGCCCCGGGCUCGGAAGGACUCUGCAAAGGAGCUGAUCUGCCCCUGGGAGACCCCCACAGGGCAGGGGAGAGCGGGGUAACCCCGACACAGACGCUCCUGCCUGAGACCGCAGUGUUUGCCAUGCAUGGCCCAGCACAUGUUGGAGCCAUCCUCCAGCACCAGGGACACCCAGACCACCACAGCUCCGGAUAACAGCCCCUGGUGUGCCCAGCUGUUUGUGACCCAAGAGCUCCAAGCCUCUCUGGAUUGGUUUUCUUUCCUGUCUUUGGUGUGUUCAGUUCUGCUCAUGACAAACUCGUCGAUAAACGAGCCUGGUUUCAUGCCUUGGAGCAGAUGGAGGAUGUGUGGGUGAUGUCCUGGGAAACGGGCUCUUAUCGGAGUUUCUGCCUUGGCCAUGAGGUGUCAGCACACUGAACACAGCACAGCUGGAGCAGGGCUGGAGGGGCUGGCAGGGCAGGACUCAGGUUUCAGUGCCAAAACUGGGGCUUGUUUGUGUCCCCAGCCUGGGCCCACCUCCUAUUAAUUACAAUUUUUUAAUUUCAAAGCGUGCUGAUUAAGAGGCUGGGGAAAAUGGGGUGUCCCUCAUGAGAUGCUGUGUGCUGAGUGGCAAAGCAUCAUUCCUUCAUCCAAACCAAACAUAAUCCCAGAGGCAUCAAGGAGUGCAGAGCUCUCCUGCUCCAGCUUCCCAGUGCAUGGGUUUGAAGCCAUGGCUCGACCUGGGAACACCUGGGGAGAUCCAAGCCAAAUCCCUGUUGGUGUUUUGGGCCCCUCCAAGCUGGGAUUGAUGUGUUGCCACAGGCAGUGCUGAUAUUGAGUGUUGGAUUGUUGCCUUCCCUGUGUCAGUGUUUGAAGGUGGUUGUUUUAUUCCUUGGACGAGUUUCCUCAGUGUGUGUGUGCUGUAGGUCCCUAUUCUGUACCUUGGCCAUGACCUGUGACUUCUGAUGCUGCUGUUUUGUACUUUCUGAUUAUAAAUGGAGUCUUUCCUGUCUGGC
Molecule: long non-coding RNA, 1114 nt
Organism: Serinus canaria (Common canary)
Lineage: Eukaryota; Metazoa; Chordata; Aves; Passeriformes; Fringillidae
Exons: 2
Source: RefSeq, a predicted model, not a curated record